GUCUGCGUUUCAUUAGCUAGUUGGUGGGGUAACGGCCCUACCAAGGCAACGAUGGGUAGCCGAUCUGAGAGGAUGAUCGGCCACACUGGAACUGAAACACGGUCCAGACUCCUACGGGAGGCAGCAGUGGGGAAUAUUGCGCAAUGGGCGAAAGCCUGACGCAGCGACGCCGCGUGAGGGAUGAAGGUCUUCGGAUCGUAAACCUCUGUCAGAAGGGAAGAAACUAGGGUGCUCUAAUCAUCAUCCUACUGGCGGUACCUUCAAAGGAAGCACCGGCUAACUCCGUGCCAGCAGCCGCGGUAAUACGGAGGGUGCAAGCGUUAAUCGGAAUCACUGGGCGUAAAGCGCACGUAGGCUGUUAUGUAAGUCAGGGGUGAAAUCCCACGGCUCAACCGUGGAACUGCCCUUGAUACUGCACGACUUGAAUCCGGGAGAGGGUGGCGGAAUUCCAGGUGUAGGAGUGAAAUCCGUAGAUAUCUGGAGGAACAUCAGUGGCGAAGGCGGCCACCUGGACCGGUAUUGACGCUGAGGUGCGAAAAGCGUGGGGAGCAACCAGGAUUAGAUACCCUGGUAG
Molecule: ribosomal RNA, 574 nt
Filed under: uncultured Desulfovibrio sp.
Lineage: Bacteria; Pseudomonadati; Thermodesulfobacteriota; Desulfovibrionia; Desulfovibrionales; Desulfovibrionaceae
Description: bacterial SSU rRNA
Rfam family: Bacterial small subunit ribosomal RNA
Source: RNAcentral